Molecule: non-coding RNA, 261 nt
Organism: Vicia faba (fava bean)
Lineage: Eukaryota; Viridiplantae; Streptophyta; Magnoliopsida; Fabales; Fabaceae
Source: the annotation of a GenBank genome assembly
AUGCUUAGUUUCAUCAAUGGAUCUCACAGCCCGGAAUCGGAUACCGUGAAUUUACCAAUCCACCGAGUGUAUUUGUGUAAGUUCGAAAGUCAUAAAGUGGAAAACUUAUCUGAAUUUAGAUACCAACGUCAGAGGUUCUCAAAUAAUCUCUUUAGAACGGUGCAAACUCACAUCAGUUGGGUUGAAUUUUCGGUUCCUCAUCGGAUAACAAACCGCCUAAUAUUAUCGACUCCACCCUCCAAUUCCUGGAAUUUUAGCUAG